ACAUGCAGCCGAGCGGUAGAGAUUCUUCGGAAUCUUGAGAGCGGCGCACGGGUGCGGAUUAAGAGUGCAACCUGCCUUUAUCAGGGGAAUAGCCUUUCGAAAGGAAGAUUAAUGCCCCAUAAUAUAUUUUCUGGCAUCAGAAUAUAUUGAAAACUCCGGUGGAUAAAGAUGGGCACGCGCAGGAUUAGAUAGUUGGUAGGGUAACGGCCUACCAAGUCAACGAUCCUUAGGGGGCCUGAGAGGGUGAUCCCCCACACUGGUACUGAGACACGGACCAGACUCCUACGGGAGGCAGCAGUGAGGAAUAUUGGACAAUGGGUGAGAGCCUGAUCCAGCCAUCCCGCGUGAAGGACGACGGCCCUAUGGGUUGUAAACUUCUUUUGUACAGGGAUAAACCUUUCCACGUGUGGGAAGCUGAAGGUACUGUACGAAUAAGCACCGGCUAACUCCGUGCCAGCAGCCGCGGUAAUACGGAGGGUGCAAGCGUUAUCCGGAUUUAUUGGGUUUAAAGGGUCCGUAGGCGGACUCGUAAGUCAGUGGUGAAAUCUCACAGCUUAACUGUGAAACUGCCAUUGAUACUGCGGGUCUUGAGUGUUGUUGAAGUAGCUGGAAUAAGUAGUGUAGCGGUGAAAUGCAUAGAUAUUACUUAGAACACCAAUUGCGAAGGCAGGUUACUAAGCAACAACUGACGCUGAUGGACGAAAGCGUGGGGAGCGAACAGGAUUAGAUACCCUGGUAGUCCACGCCGUAAACGAUGCUAACUCGUUUUUGGGUCUUUAAGAUUCAGAGACUAAGCGAAAGUGAUAAGUUAGCCACCUGGGGAGUACGUUCGCAAGAAUGAAACUCAAAGGAAUUGACGGGGGCCCGCACAAGCGGUGGAUUAUGUGGUUUAAUUCGAUGAUACGCGAGGAACCUUACCAAGGCUUAAAUGGGAAUUGAUGGGUUUAGAAAUAGACCGUCCUUCGGGCAAUUUUCAAGGUGCUGCAUGGUUGUCGUCAGCUCGUGCCGUGAGGUGUUAGGUUAAGUCCUGCAACGAGCGCACCCCUGUCACUAGUUGCCAUCAUUCAGUUGGGGACUCUAGUGAGACUGCCUACGCAAGUAGAGAGGAAGGUGGGGAUGACGUCAAAUCAUCACGGCCCUUACGCCUUGGGCCACACACGUAAUACAAUGGGCCGGUAC
Molecule: ribosomal RNA, 1179 nt
Filed under: Chryseobacterium lathyri
Lineage: Bacteria; Pseudomonadati; Bacteroidota; Flavobacteriia; Flavobacteriales; Weeksellaceae
Description: bacterial SSU rRNA
Rfam family: Bacterial small subunit ribosomal RNA
Source: RNAcentral